This 413-nucleotide unclassified non-coding RNA is filed under the name soil metagenome. RNAcentral describes it as "partial contains 5.8S ribosomal RNA, internal transcribed spacer 2, and large subunit ribosomal RNA". The stretch from base 1 to 120 matches the Rfam family "5.8S ribosomal RNA", at positions 35 to 154 of the family's 154-position model. The record is from RNAcentral.
GAUGAAGAACGUAGCGAAAUGCGAUAAGUAAUGUGAAUUGCAGAAUUCAGUGAAUCAUCGAAUCUUUGAACGCACCUUGCGCUCUUUGGUAUUCCGAAGAGCAUGCCUGUUUGAGUGUCAUGAAAAUAUCAACCUUGACUUGGGUUUUGUGCUCUAGUCUCGGCUUGGAAUUGGGUGCUUGCCGCUUUUACGAGCGGCUCACCUUAAAUGUAUUAGCUGGAUCUGUCUUUGAGACUUGGUUUGACUUGGCGUAAUAAGUAUUUCGCUAAGGACAUUCUUCGGAGUGGCCUCGUUUCUAGGACGCUUGUCCGCUUUCCAAUACAAGUUCCACCUCGUGGACAUGACUUGUUAUUAUCUGGCCUCAAAUCAGGUAGGACUACCCGCUGAACUUAAGCAUAUCAAUAAGCGGAGGA